This 253-nucleotide ribosomal RNA is filed under the name uncultured bacterium. RNAcentral describes it as "partial 16S ribosomal RNA". It matches the Rfam family "Bacterial small subunit ribosomal RNA", at positions 524 to 776 of the family's 1533-position model. The record is from RNAcentral.
UACAGAGGUUUCAAGCGUUGUUCGGAUUCAUUGGGCGUAAAGGGUGCGUAGGUGGCGGGGUUAGUCUGGUGUGAAAUCUCGGAGCUCAACUCCGAAACUGCACUGGAUACUGGCUUGCUUGAGUACUGGAGAGGAGAUUGGAAUUUACGGUGUAGCAGUGAAAUGCGUAGAUAUCGUAAGGAAGACCAGUGGCGAAGGCGAGUCUCUGGGCCGUUACUGACACUGAGGCACGAAGGCCAGGGGAGCAAACGGG